RNAcentral lists this long non-coding RNA (324 nucleotides) under Myripristis murdjan (pinecone soldierfish). RNAcentral's name for it is "lncRNA (ENSMMDG00005000478.1)". The record is from RNAcentral. Lineage: Eukaryota; Metazoa; Chordata; Actinopteri; Holocentriformes; Holocentridae.
CGGGGAGAGGAACUGGGGCAGAGAGAAGCUGGAGCUGCUGGAGAGGUUCAGCCAGGAGAGAGCUCAGUGGGAGCAGAGACUGAGAGAGGCUACCGCCCAGCAGGGGAAGUCCAAAGGAGACAAGCUGCCCGAUGCAGAGCCCUCAGCAGACACUGUUGCUAAUGGCACUGGAUUACCAAGGACCAAGUCCAUGUCAGAACUGGAGGAUCCACAGGUCAACGGAGCAGCCAACCAGGAAGAGAAGCACAUGUUUGCCGUCCCGCCCCCUCUCCUGAUUCGCUCAGAGCUGGGUGACCUCACCAGGAAGAACUGGGCCUACCUGAC